RNAcentral lists this transfer RNA (68 nucleotides) under Curculionoidea sp. 24 KM-2017. RNAcentral describes it as "tRNA-Val". The record is from RNAcentral. Lineage: Eukaryota; Metazoa; Arthropoda; Insecta; Coleoptera.
CAAGUUAGAGCUUGUAGAAGUGUUUUAUUUACAUUAAAAAGAUAGUUGUGAGAAUCAAUUUAAUUUGA